This is a non-coding RNA of Caenorhabditis elegans, 145 nucleotides long. The record is from Ensembl. Lineage: Eukaryota; Metazoa; Nematoda; Chromadorea; Rhabditida; Rhabditidae.
CCUUUACAAUUAGGAAGCACUAUAGUAUUUGGACCUUCCAAUCCUUUUUGCUCAUUUCCCUAAUCAAGUCUUCGCCCUCCUUCUUCCUCCUCCCACCCAUUUUGUGUCCACUCGUUCUUUACUCAAACAUUUGUACAAUUCCUCC